CAGUCGCCGCGGGAAUACGAAGGGUGCAAGCGUUAAUCGGAAUUACUGGGCGUAAAGCGUGCGUAGGCGGUUUGUUAAGUCUGUUAUGAAAUCCCCGGGCUCAACCUGGGAAUGGCAAUGGAUACUGGCAAGCUAGAGUGUGUCAGAGGAUGGUGGAAUUCCCGGUGUAGCGGUGAAAUGCGUAGAGAUCGGGAGGACCAUCAGUGGCGAAGGCGGCCAUCUGGGACAACACUGACGCUGAGGCACGAAAGCGUGGGGAGCAAACAGGAUUAGAUACCCGGGUAGUCCCUGUCUCUUAUAC
Molecule: ribosomal RNA, 301 nt
Filed under: uncultured bacterium
Lineage: Bacteria
Description: partial 16S ribosomal RNA
Rfam family: Bacterial small subunit ribosomal RNA
Source: RNAcentral